Molecule: transfer RNA, 61 nt
Filed under: Eutreptiella gymnastica
Lineage: Eukaryota; Euglenozoa; Euglenophyceae; Eutreptiales; Eutreptiaceae
Source: RNAcentral
GUCAUAGGUGAGUGGUAGAACAGUGCACUGCAGGCCUACAGGUAGUUGGUUCAAACCCACU